GUCGAGGGGCAGCAUAUGAGUAGCAAUACUUAUGAUGGCGACCGGCGCACGGGUGCGUAACGCGUAUGCAACCUACCUUUUACAGGGGCAUAACACUGAGAAAUCGGUACUAAUUCCCCAUAAUAUCUGAGACGGCAUCGUUUCGGGUUGAAAACUCCGGUGGUAAAAGAUGGGCAUGCGUUGUAUUAGCUGGUUGGUGAGGUAACGGCUCACCAAGGCGACGAUACAUAGGGGGACUGAGAGGUUAACCCCCCACAUUGGUACUGAGACACGGACCAAACUCCUACGGGAGGCAGCAGUGAGGAAUAUUGGUCAAUGGACGCAAGUCUGAACCAGCCAUGCCGCGUGCAGGAAGACGGCUCUAUGAGUUGUAAACUGCUUUUGUACGAGGGUAAAUGCAGGUACGUGUAUCUGUUUGAAAGUAUCGUACGAAUAAGGAUCGGCUAACUCCGUGCCAGCAGCCGCGGUAAUACGGAGGAUCCAAGCGUUAUCCGGAUUUAUUGGGUUUAAAGGGUGCGUAGGCGGUUUUAUAAGUUAGAGGUGAAAUCUCGGGGCUCAACUCCGAAAUUGCCUCUAAUACUGUAGGACUAGAGAGUAGUUGCGGUAGGCGGAAUGUAUGGUGUAGCGGUGAAAUGCUUAGAGAUCAUACAGAACACCGAUUGCGAAGGCAGCUUACCAAACUAUAUCUGACGUUGAGGCACGAAAGCGUGGGGAGCAAACAGGAUUAGAUACCCUGGUAGUCCACGCAGUAAACGAUGAUAACUCGUU
Molecule: ribosomal RNA, 768 nt
Filed under: uncultured bacterium
Lineage: Bacteria
Description: bacterial SSU rRNA
Rfam family: Bacterial small subunit ribosomal RNA
Source: RNAcentral